GCGGGUCUGGCCGAGUGGUCAGGCUGCAGCCUUCCAAGCUGCCCACGUGGGUUCGAUUCCCAUGGCCCGCUCCA
RNAcentral lists this transfer RNA (74 nucleotides) under Stenotrophomonas maltophilia. Its description in RNAcentral is "tRNA-Gly". It matches the Rfam family "tRNA". Rfam says of the family: Transfer RNA (tRNA) molecules are approximately 80 nucleotides in length. Their secondary structure includes four short double-helical elements and three loops (D, anti-codon, and T loops). Lineage: Bacteria; Pseudomonadati; Pseudomonadota; Gammaproteobacteria; Lysobacterales; Lysobacteraceae. RNAcentral also lists the same sequence under 3 other names. The record is from RNAcentral.